ACAGCAGCCGCCGCGGGAAUACGUAGGUGGCAAGCGUUGUCCGGAAUUAUUGGGCGUAAAGGGCUCGCAGGCGGUUUCUUAAGUCUGAUGUGAAAGCCCCCGGCUCAACCGGGGAGGGUCAUAGGAAACUGGGAAACUUGAGUGCAGAAGAGGAGAGUGGAAUUCCACGUGUAGCGGUGAAAUGCGCAGAGAUGUGGAGGAACACCAGUGGCGAAGGCGACUCUCUGGUCUGUAACUGACGCUGAGGAGCGAAAGCGUGGGGAGCGAACAGGAUUAGAUACCCCAGUAGUCCCUGUCUCUUAUAC
This 305-nucleotide ribosomal RNA is filed under the name uncultured bacterium. RNAcentral's name for it is "partial 16S ribosomal RNA". It matches the Rfam family "Bacterial small subunit ribosomal RNA", at positions 508 to 807 of the family's 1533-position model. The record is from RNAcentral.